UAUUUAUUAUAAGUACACUGUAGCUGUUUUCAGACACAGAUGCAGAGUGCAUCAGAUCUCAUUACGGAUGGUUGUGAGCCACCAUGUGGUUGCUGGGAUUUGAACUCAGGACCUCUGGAAAAGCAGUCAGUGCUCCUAACCACUGAGCCAUCUCUCCAGCCCGUAUCUGUUCUUUAUACCAGGCUAUGCCUGUGUUCUGAUUUGAACAAACAUUAGCAAACUUCGGUAUGACCCGAAACAAAAGAACCAGAUUUAAACCCUGUGUAGCACUGCCAACUUCUUGUUAGCUUGCGCUAAUUUUAUUUUAUUUUGUUUUUAUUUAUUUAUACAUUCAUUCCUUCAUUUUUAUUUCUGGAACUCAAAGAGAUCUACCUGCCUCCCCCUCCCAGAUGCUGGAUUAAAGCUGUGUCUACCAUGCAUGGCUGGUUUGUGGUAAUUUUAAAUGUUUACUUGUUCAUUCACACGCAUUUUUACUCCCUAAACAACCUGUGGUAAAAUGGAUGCUGGGCAGUUUAGAAUGUGGCCUUUGUGCAGCCAGUGUGUGUUGCCUGGAGGUGACAGCUAAUGUCAACACUCUGCAUACUGCAGUGAGUCUUUGCUCUCAAGCGAUUAGCAGUGUGUGUCCUGUGAUUCAUUCAUUCACCAAGCCUUUAUUCAGUGAACUCUGCCCCAGGACUGUGGUGAGACCCAGUGAUUAAACAGAACCAAUGGCUUGCA
RNAcentral lists this long non-coding RNA (717 nucleotides) under Rattus norvegicus (Norway rat). RNAcentral's name for it is "long non-coding RNA NONRATT029795". The record is from RNAcentral. Lineage: Eukaryota; Metazoa; Chordata; Mammalia; Rodentia; Muridae.